AUUCCCCUAUUCUGCUCGUCUUUUAUGCCGAGUUGCGAUGAAAAAUUGAAGCCUAAAGUAGGGAUGACAUUUGAAGGGCUUGAGGCUGUGGAGGAGUUCUACAAGUCGUAUGCACAUCAUGUGGGUUUUGGAGUUCGUGUCGGACAACAGAAAAAGUUGAACAAAGAAGUGGUUCAGACAAAGCGUUUCAUGUGCAGCAGGGAAGGAUUUAGGACUGAGAAGAACAAGGAGAUUAAAGACCCAUCAAACCAAUCAAAGAAAAGCCGUAAGAAUACAACCACACGAUGCGGUUGUGAUGCACAUAUCUUCGUCAAGUUGUGUGGCGACAACACCUACAAGAUACAAUCAUGGGUUGGGCACCAUAGCCAUGGCCUUGUAUCACCUGAUAAACGUCACUUGAUCAGAUCAAAUCGUAAAGUUAAUGAGAGGGCAAAAAAUAUGUUGUACACAUGUCACAAAGCAAGCAUAGGUACAUGCCAGGCGUACAGGCUCCUUCAAGUCAGCGAAGGUGGGUUUCCGUAUGUUGGAUGCAGCAAGAGGGACCUGCAAAACUACUACCGUGACCUCAGGCUUAAAAUUAGGAACGCCGAUGCUCAAAUGUUUGUCGCUCAGCUAGCUAGAAAGCAAGAAGUCAAUCCAGCUUUCUUCUAUGAUUUUGUUGUUGACAAAGAGGGGAACUUAAUGUAUGUUUUCUGGGCAGAUGCCAUGAGUAGGAAAAACUAUAGUCACUUUGGGGGUGAUGGUGUGGUAUCUUUCGAUUCUACUUACACCACUAAUCAAUACGACAUGAUCUUUGCACCAUUUACAGGGGUCAAUCAUCACUUACAGAGUGUGUUUUUUGGUGCGGCAUUCUUGUGCAAUGAGCAGACUGAGUCAUAUGUUUGGUUAUUUGAGACCUUCCUUACAGCAAUGGGAGGGGUAGCACCUAGACUCAUUAUA
RNAcentral lists this ribosomal RNA (939 nucleotides) under Triticum aestivum (bread wheat). RNAcentral's name for it is "partial small subunit ribosomal RNA". Lineage: Eukaryota; Viridiplantae; Streptophyta; Magnoliopsida; Poales; Poaceae. The record is from RNAcentral.